UUUCAGAUCGUUUAUCAUCGCCUAGGUC
RNAcentral lists this non-coding RNA (28 nucleotides) under Bombyx mori (domestic silkworm). Lineage: Eukaryota; Metazoa; Arthropoda; Insecta; Lepidoptera; Bombycidae. The record is from RNAcentral.